CUGGCCCUGAAGGCAGUCAGCUUUUUGAUGCUGUUGGUUUCAAGCAAGGGCCUAAAGAGAUGUCUUUCUAUGGUCUGUUGGCCAUUUUAGAACUUGGGCAGUGAAAUGGUCAAUUCAUUAGAAAGAAACAGCU
Cavia porcellus (domestic guinea pig) is the source of this 133-nucleotide small nucleolar RNA. NCBI's taxonomy places the organism in Eukaryota, Metazoa, Chordata, Mammalia, Rodentia, Caviidae. The record is from Ensembl.